AUGUUUAUGUGUGUAUUUAUGUCUUGUAUUGCUGGUAAGUAACUUUCUUGCACUGAGGUCUGUUUGUUGCAAAUAUCUUUGACUUGUUUUUAUGUCUUAUAAUGUUUAUGUGUGUAUUUAUGUCUUGUAUUGCUGGUAAGUAACUUUCUUGCACUGAGGUCUGUUUGUUGCAAAUAUCUUUGACUUGUUUUUAUGUCUUAUAAUGUUUAUGUGUGUAUUUAUGUCUUGUAUUGCUGGUAAGUAACUUUCUUGCACUGAGGUCUGUUUGUUGCAAAUAUCUUUGACCUGUUUUUAUGUCUUAUAAUGUUUAUAUUUGUAUUUAUGUCUUGUAUUGCUGGUAAGUAACUUUCUUGCACUGAGGUCUGUUUGUUGCAAAUAUCUUUGACUUGUUUUUAUGUCUUGUAAUGUUUAUGUGUGUAUUUAUGUCUUGUAUUGCUGGUAAGUAACUUUCUUGCACUGAGGUCUGUUUGUUGCAAAUAUCUUUGACCUGUUUUUAUGUCUUAUAAUGUUUAUAUUUGUACUUAUGUCUUGUAUUGCUGGUAAGUAACUUUCUUGCACUGAGGUCUGUUUGUUGCAAAUAUCUUUGACUUGCUUUUAUGUUUUAUAAUGUUUAUGUGUGUAUUUAUGUCUUGUAUUGCUGGUAAGUAACUUUCUUGCACUGAGGUCUGUUUAUUGCAAAUAUCUUUGACUUGUUUUUAUGUCUUAUAAUGUUUAUGUCUGUAUGUAUGUCUUCAAUUGCUGUUAAGUAACUUUCUUGCACUGAGGUCUGUUUAUUGCAAAUAUCUUUGACCUGUUUUUAUGUCUUAUAAUGUUUAUAUUUGUACUUAUGUCUUGUAUUGCUGGUAAGUAACUUUCUUGCACUGAGGUCUGUUUGUUGCAAAUAUCUUUGACUUGUUUUUAUGUCUUGUAAUGUUUAUGUGUGUAUUUAUGUCUUGUAUUGCUGGUAAGUAACUUUCUUGCACUGAGGUCUGUUUGUUGCAAAUAUCUUUGACUUGUUUUUAUGUCUUGUAAUGUUUAUGUGUGUAUUUAUGUCUUGUAUUGCUGGUAAGUAACUUUCUUGCACUGAGUUUUUUUUGUUGCAAAUAUCUUUGAUUUGUUUUUAUGUCUUAUCAUGUUUAUAUGUGUAUUUAUGUCUUGUAUUGCUGGUAAGUAACUUUAUUGCACUGAGUUUUGUUUGUUGCAAAUAUCUUUGACUUGUUUUUACGUCUUGUAAUGUUUAUGUGUGUAUGUAUGUCUUGUAUUGCUAAUUGUUAGGAACCCUAACUUUAUUUAUUUUUUUAAUAGUAGGAUGUAUGUAUGUAUGUGUGUGUGUGU
This is a long non-coding RNA of Astatotilapia calliptera (eastern happy), 1314 nucleotides long. The record is from Ensembl. NCBI's taxonomy places the organism in Eukaryota, Metazoa, Chordata, Actinopteri, Cichliformes, Cichlidae.